RNAcentral lists this ribosomal RNA (501 nucleotides) under uncultured bacterium. Its description in RNAcentral is "partial 16S ribosomal RNA". It matches the Rfam family "Bacterial small subunit ribosomal RNA", at positions 30 to 523 of the family's 1533-position model. The record is from RNAcentral.
AUUGAGCGCUGGCGGCAGGCUUAACACAUGCAAGUCGAGCGGGGGAAGGUAGCUUGCUACCGGACCUAGCGGCGGACGGGUGAGUAAUGCUUAGGAAUCUGCCUAUUAGUGGGGGACAACAUCUCGACAGGGAUGCUAAUACCGUAUACGUCCUACGGGAGAAAGCAGGGGAACUUCGGAUCUUGGGCUACUAGAUGAGCCUAAGUCGGAUUAGCUAGUGGGUGGGGUAAAGGCCUACCAAGGCGACGAUCUGUAGCGGGUCUGAGAGGAUGAACCGCCACACUGGGACUGGGACACGGCCCAGACUCCUACGGGAGGCAGCAGUGGGGAAUAUUGGACAAUGGGGGGAACCCUGAUCCAGCCAUGCCGCGUGUGUGAAGAAGGCCUUAUGGUUGUAAAGCACUUUAAGCGAGGAGGAGGCUACUCUAGUUAAUACCUAGGGAUAGUGGACGUUACUCGCAGAAUAAGCACCGGCUAACUCUGUGCCAGCCGCCGCGGUAA